GCACGCGUAGCUCAGCUGGUAGAGCAGCUGACUCUUAAUCAGCGGGUCCGGGGUUCGAGUCCCCGCGCGUGUA
Molecule: transfer RNA, 73 nt
Filed under: Bacteroidota bacterium
Lineage: Bacteria; Pseudomonadati; Bacteroidota
Description: tRNA-Lys
Rfam family: tRNA
About the family: Transfer RNA (tRNA) molecules are approximately 80 nucleotides in length.
Source: RNAcentral